UAUAGGUGCACAAGAGUGGCUCGAGUGACCAUUAGUGCUGAUGGUACAACAGAGGGUGCAAGCCGAGUCUUCGUGGCAAUAAAUCCCAUCCUCGAGGAACAGAGGCAAAGAUAAGCAGGGGCAUGUCUAAGAGGGAUGCAGCAACAACUCAGAGAUCGAUCACUCAGACAACCAAGGUUGUAGAGAGCAGAAUGGGAACACCAGGAAAGCAAUCCCUGAUAAACCAGUGCAGUAAUUGGAAGUGUUUCUGAGGGUGUGAAGGCGGACUGGGGAGGCCUCCAGGGUGAGAUAAGGCAAGCAAUCAACAUGUCAAGGUAAUUUGCUAGCAGUUCUGGCUUUGGGUUGAGGUGUAUAAACCUGCCUGCUGUGAUGUAUGAAGCCUGCUAACCUGAGGAAGCUGGGCCACAGAAGGACGAUAGCAAAGUGGAGGCUGCUUGGGACUGACAAGAGGGACCACCUGUCUCUACAAAUGUGACAUCUGUCCCGAUGAAGGCAGACCCUCAUUACAAAGCUGCUGUAUUUGGGCCUCCAUUACUACAGCUGGAUGCAAUUUCUCCGGACACAACCCUCACCAUGCUUCUGAGUCCACCCUGACUGUGCACCUGCUCUCCAGCCCCUCGGCCAGUGUGCGUCCUCUGCAUAUUAUCAUCUGACCAUGAUGUUGCAUAAGUGGGACAACCGUCUUUUUUGUUUUUAAUGCCAAGAUGAGUCUGUGCAUUUUCCUUUCAGCUUAUCCAGUUGUAUAAAGUGCAAUGGAUCAGAC
Long non-coding RNA from Zalophus californianus (California sea lion), 763 nucleotides. RefSeq lists it as uncharacterized. NCBI's taxonomy places the organism in Eukaryota, Metazoa, Chordata, Mammalia, Carnivora, Otariidae. The transcript has 2 exons. The record is from RefSeq and is a predicted model, not a curated record.